Long non-coding RNA from Heterocephalus glaber (naked mole-rat), 481 nucleotides. RefSeq lists it as uncharacterized. The record is from RefSeq and is a predicted model, not a curated record. Lineage: Eukaryota; Metazoa; Chordata; Mammalia; Rodentia; Bathyergidae.
AGCCUGCAGGCCGCGCGAGACGUGGCAGCGCCGGGUAGGCGGGAGAGGGUGCGGUCGUAGGAUCGUGCUGCAGUAGGGGCGCCGGGUACCGCGGCUGCCUGCGCCCCCGGGCGCCCUCGGAGAGACAGAAGGAGCCGUGGACGGAUGGAGGUGGUGCUUUCAGAAGGUGAUUGGACCAUGGGGCUCUAACUUCAUCAAGCAGAUUACUCCAUUGAUGGAUCAUAAUUUAGUGACUUUAUUGGGACAUGGAAACAGGAGCCCGGAUUGAACUUGGGACCUUCCACUUUCGAGGCAGGAGGCGGCACCACUGAGCUAAAUCCCCAGCUCCUCUCUGGCUGUUUUUUCCCCUUUCUGCUCCUGGCUGCCUUGUAUGUGAUGCGCAGCUCCAUAUUCUCCCUCAUCUCCUACCCACAGCAAUGGAACCAGCAACCAUGGACUGAAACCUCUGAAACUGUGAGCCAGAAUAAACCUUCCUCCUGUG